RNAcentral lists this ribosomal RNA (700 nucleotides) under uncultured Gammaproteobacteria bacterium. RNAcentral's name for it is "bacterial SSU rRNA". It matches the Rfam family "Bacterial small subunit ribosomal RNA", at positions 8 to 698 of the family's 1533-position model. The record is from RNAcentral. Lineage: Bacteria; Pseudomonadati; Pseudomonadota; Gammaproteobacteria.
AGAGUUUGAUCAUGGCUCAGAUUGAACGCUGGCGGCAGGCCUAACACAUGCAAGUCGAACGGUAACGAUCCUAGCUUGCUAGGAGGCGACGAGUGGCGAACGGGUGAGUAACGCGUAGGAAUCUACCUAGUAGUGGGGGAUAGCCAAGGGAAACUUUGGGUAAUACCGCAUACGAUCUACGGAUGAAAGGGGGCCUCUCUUUGAAGCUCUCGCUAUUAGAUGAGCCUGCGUCGGAUUAGCUUGUUGGUAGGGUAAAGGCCUACCAAGGCGACGAUCCGUAGCUGGUCUGAGAGGAUGAUCAGCCACACUGGAACUGAGACACGGUCCAGACUCCUACGGGAGGCAGCAGUGGGGAAUAUUGGACAAUGGGGGCAACCCUGAUCCAGCCAUGCCGCGUGUGUGAAGAAGGCCUUAGGGUUGUAAAGCACUUUUAGUAGGGAGGAAGGCCCGGUAGUUAAUACCUGCCGGGAUUGACGUUACCUACAGAAAAAGCACCGGCUAAUUUCGUGCCAGCAGCCGCGGUAAUACGAAAGGUGCAAGCGUUAAUCGGAAUUACUGGGCGUAAAGCGCGCGUAGGCGGCUUGGUAAGUUGGAUGUGAAAGCCCCGGGCUCAACCUGGGAACUGCAUCCAAAACUGCCAGGCUAGAGUAUGGUAGAGGAUGGCGGAAUUUCCUGUGUAGCGGUGAAAUGCGUAGAUAUA